Molecule: RNA transcript, 4063 nt
Organism: Oncorhynchus tshawytscha (Chinook salmon)
Lineage: Eukaryota; Metazoa; Chordata; Actinopteri; Salmoniformes; Salmonidae
Gene: tdrkh
Gene name: tudor and KH domain containing
Exons: 17
Source: RefSeq, a predicted model, not a curated record
AUCGCAGCCUAGUGCGGCACUCCAAACGUAGCGUUACGGGCUUCUCCAUUGCAAUGAAGGACUAACGCCUGAAAGGAAAUAAUGAUUUGCAUCCGCAUGUAACUUGAGCAUAUGUCUCAAAGGAAAUGAAAAGAAUGUUUGCUUUUUGAACGUCCUCGUUGAAAACCAGGUUCUCUACGCUAGCAUCUGUUUGUGGUCUCCGGCGCUAAAUGUUUUUACACGACGCAGUACAUUUUGAGUACUACGGAUUAAUUGCUGCAGCGGUACCUAGUCCCGAUUGUGGCGAUGCUUUCAAUUGCCUGUACAACAUAGUCACGCACAUUUUACUUAGACAAGGAAUGUCUAGUUUUUAAGUCUGAAUACAAUUUAUAUUUUAACAUAGUCUGCCGAUUGUCCGUGAGGUUGGACCCACUUCGAUAUGCGGGUCUCUGUGUGGUAAUCAGGUCAUGAGCAAACAUCUUAAAGCACGUGCACAAUUUGGAUGUACAUGCAGAUUUCGACCAGCUGAAGGACCAACCCCGCAGAGAGCCAGUAGAAGCCCAAAUUCUAGAGGAGUGACAUUGUUUGGGUUGCCAAGAUGGACGUGGGGAACCUGGGGAUCUCUCAGUCCCAGGUCUUUCUCAACUACAGCCCGCGGGCCAUCCUGUCACAGUGGAGUCUCUCCCUGGGCACGCGGCGUGUGAUGGAGGCAGUGCGGGAGGGCCCUAAGAGCACCCUGAGCUCUGGUAAAGUUGUGGCUCUGGCAGCGGGGCUGUCUGUAGGAGCGACGGUGGGAUACAUAGUCUACCGGCAAAUCAAAAGCACCAGCUCUCCGCUUGCUAACACCGAGGAGUCCAGGAUGUCGGUACCUCUGGAGGUUUACAGGACUAUUACCAAGUACCAAGCCUCCUUCCUGGACCUGGUGAUGCAGAAGUCCGGUGCCCGCGUGAGGGUGCUCUCUGAGUCUUCACAGGCAGGCGAGGGGGAGCAAAGUUGCCAGAAUUCCGUGUGUUUCCUGCUGCAGGGCUCACCUCAGCAGGUGCUGCUGGCCAGGUGUUCCCUGGAGAACCUGGCCGCAGACUGUGAGACCACCACUGACGUCAUGGAGGUACCCCAGACUGCCUUCGGACGUAUCAUAGGUCGUGGAGGGGAGUCUCUGAAGCUCAUCACCAGGACAACAGGAGCAAGAGUCCUAUGUCCCAGGGAGAGGGGGCGGGGCCUAGAGAGGGGCAUGGUGUCUGUCACAGGGACGAGACUGGAGGUCAGACGGGCCAAGGAGCUCAUCCUAGAGAAGGUAUUUGAGGAUGAGGCUGUAAGGAGGAGGAUAACCCAGUCCUCGGCCCUGCGCCAGAAACGAAGACCCUUCGAGCCCCAGGGUCAAGGGUCUGAGGAACUGAAGCUGGAGGAGGCUCCACAGUCUCUCUGGAUGGAGGAAGGGAGGCUGGUCCAUGCUAACGGUGUUCAGACCGCAGUGAGAGACCUUGCCCAGGAUAGAGGAGAGACCGUACAGCUGGCUACAGAGGCACGAGAGGAUGACGAUCUUCUGUCGCCCGACUCCCUAUCAGAUGUUUCUAAAUUUGAAAUUCCCAGCCCAGACCUGAGCUUCCAGCCAGAUGAGCACCUGGAGGUGUAUGUAUCGGCGUCAGAGAACCCCCACCACUUCUGGAUCCAGAUCCUGGGGGUCCGCUCCCUCCAGCUGGACAAACUUACUGCCGAGAUGAGCCGCUUCUACAGCAACGGCACCCUGCAGGAGCAGCGAGUGGAGACCAUCGUGGUGGGGGACAUCGUGGCAGCUCCGUACCGGGACUACGGCACCUGGAACAGGGCGAGGGUCCUGGGGGUGAUGGGCUCUGGCCUAGUGGACCUCUACUAUGUCGACUUCGGAGACAAUGGAGAACUACCCAGGGAUAGUCUCCGAAGUAUGAGAAGUGACUUUCUCAGCCUACCAUUCCAGGCCAUCGAGUGCAGCCUAGCUGGAGUCAACCCUGCAGGUGACGUGUGGAGCGACCAAGCCCUGGAUGACUUUGAGCGCCUGACGUAUGUUGCAGAGUGGAGACCCCUGCUGGCCAAACUGUGCAGCUACACCCACUCUGAGGUCUCCUCUUGGCCAAGUGUACAGCUCUACGACAACACCGAGGGCAAGGCUGUAGAUCUAGGAGAGGAGAUGGUGAGUCUGGGCCAUGCUGUACCUAGCCAAGAUAAUGGGAACGGGGGUGGCGACAGGGACGACCCUGGAACACUACAGAGGAUGCUGGAUGAUGUGACUGGAGCCACGUCGGAGCUAAGCCUGUCCUGCAUCAGCUUAUCAGGCUCUCUGAGCCCUCUGGAGCUGCAGCGGGCUGAUGUUGAUGACAGCCCCUCUGGGUUUGGCUUUGGGCUGACCCACUCCACCCCGGCCCAGCGAGCCCUGGUGGACCUGGUUUCCCACAUCCUGGAGUCCCCCAGCCCCUCUGAACACCCCCUCUCCCCAGACCACCAGGUCCCGGACGAGCGCUGUCACACACUCAACCGAACCACCAACCUCUACAGCUUUUCAGUGCCCCAGCUGCAACUCACACACACACUUCCUAUGUCCUCCUGUACCUCUUCGUCUACUUCCUUGUCGCCUCUGGAGGUCGUGACCUCUGUUUUGGGUUCGGUCAUGCUGAGUGACAACGUCUUCCUGGAGGGCUCCAGUUAUGACGGGGAUGAGGAAUGUGGCAUAACCUCGUCUUCCGGAGAAGUGGAGACAACUGGGGGAAACUCAACUUGGUGGUCGACUAGAGGUGACAGUCUGGAGGAGGAAGUGGACGAGGAACAGAACAGUGAGGGGGCCAUCGACAUCGGUUCCACUCCUACCUUCCCCACACAGAGGCACUUGUGGCUGGAAGAGGGCAGGCAUGGGGGUGGUGAAGAUAGCACUGAAAGUCUUAGUGUGGUUGUAGUUGGCAGUAGUUUCAGUAGCAGUGGGAGUGAUAUUAUCUAUAUGGGGUCAGUGGCGCCUGCUUGGGAGAAGGGUCAGGCUGUGUCCUGCCCUAAUGUUGAUGGUGGCAACCCACAGAGGACGAGGAAAGAAACAAGAUUACCGUUCCACCUCUCUGAGGAGGCAAUGGACAUGAAUGCCCUGGAAAGCCAAGCUGGAAUGUAUGAGAAGACUGAGGAACAGAGAAACCGACUGGACGAACACGAGAUGGAGGAAGUGAAGAGUCCACUUGGGGAGGAGUCAGGAUCUGAACACAGGAACGAACCUUCAGCGGGAUUCCAUUCAUCAGAGGAGUUUGGGACGGAGAGUGGAAAAUUGGGUAUUGCAGAGCGGCCACCGCAUCAGAGGAGUGGUCUGCGAACCGCCGAGCAAUCCAACUGCACUGAAGUAAAUGACAGGAGAGCGAGCCCUCAGGAGUUAUGACCUAUGAAGGAGUCUAUCCCAAACAGAGAAGUGGCCUCAAUCUCAGGAAGCGUUGAUGAUGUUCUAGAGGACGAGUUCGUCUGAGACCAAAGACAGACUUGUCAACACUGACCAUCCACUCUCUGCAUCAACUCCAUGUUAUGAAGUGGACACCUUCCCUCACCCCCACGCCACCAACCCCCUCGUCCUCUUCAUGAAGCCUUACUUGACUCAUGCUGAAUCCCAAAUGAACCAUUAGCCCCGUACUCCUUGGCAUUUUCUGUUUUAUCUGAAACAAUUGGAUAAUUUUUUUCAAAACCUCAGCCGGCAAAUUUAGCCACUUACCAUGUGGCCUGAACCAAUCUGAUCACUACUGAUCUGCAGGAAUGGUUAGCAUCUGCAGACUGUGCAGCAGUUCUCCCAGCCAAUUUCAUUGAACUGUGGUCUUUCCCUGAUACGGGUUGAUUUGGGUUAUGCCUUUCAUGCAGUUAUGCUUUGCUGCUAUGUGUUUAUUGUUUAAGUUGCUGAGGAGAAGAGAUGGAGGAAAAAGAAGUCGAAUGCCAGUAUUGUUUAAGAUAAAGCACUGUGCUAGGAGUCGUUCGAGCCCUAUAUUAGGUGAUUGUGGCUGUUAGAACAAAAUCAAUCUGUAAAUUAAAAUGUAAGCCUCUGUACUAUUGUGCGUUAGUUUUAUGUUGUGAAAAUAAAGAUAUUACACUUAAA